This 253-nucleotide ribosomal RNA is filed under the name uncultured bacterium. RNAcentral describes it as "partial 16S ribosomal RNA". It matches the Rfam family "Bacterial small subunit ribosomal RNA", at positions 524 to 776 of the family's 1533-position model. The record is from RNAcentral.
UACGGAGGGUGCUAGCGUUGUUCGGAAUUACUGGGCGUAAAGGGCGCGUAGGCGGCCGUUUGAGUCGGAUGUGAAAGCCCGGGGCUCAACCUCGGAACGGCAUUCGAUACGGGAUGGCUGGAGACCGGGAGAGGAGAGUGGAAUAGCAAGUGUAGAGGUGAAAUUCGUAGAUAUUGGCUGGAACACCGGUGGCGAAAGCGGCUCUCUGGCCCGGUUCUGACGCUGAGGCGCGAAAGCGUGGGGAGCAAACAGG